RNAcentral lists this long non-coding RNA (737 nucleotides) under Ananas comosus (pineapple). RNAcentral describes it as "long non-coding RNA (ACOM_LNC037910)". Lineage: Eukaryota; Viridiplantae; Streptophyta; Magnoliopsida; Poales; Bromeliaceae. The record is from RNAcentral.
UAAAAUGCAGCCCAUAUUUGCACCAUUAACCCUGAAAGUUAAUUUGUAGUGCUUCCUCGGAUAUAAUCUAUAUAUUUUCAUAUGCCUCUUCAAACGUAAAAGCUCUCAAGCAAAUACAGGCUAUUUCCUGCUGCGAAUUGAUUAAGACUUUUCAACAAUACACAUGUAAAUAGUGGUUGUUUCUAAGGAUUGUAGAUGCAAAUUGUAUCUUUUAAUGGGCAUACAUGAAAGGCGAAGCGAAAUUGAUUAUAUCUUUUAGGAUUGUGGGUGCGAAUUAUAGCAAUUGUAUAUUUUGUUCCAUGCGACUUGGCCACACACCAAUUUUAUCAUCUUCUGGGUUAAGCACUCCUGGCUAUGUUUUUCUCAACAUCGCCAUGAAUGGAAUAGAAGUGAAAAAUAAAAUUGAAUUGUUUUGAAAUGAAAAAUGGAAUGAUAAAUCAUCCAAAAAUAUUUGGUUCAUUAUUAGAGUGAAAAUCAAAAUGAGAAUCUACGAUUUUGAGAGGUGGUUUUGAUUAAAAGAGAUGGAGGGAGAGGCGGGAGGUGUUUAUGAGAGAGGAUUUUGAAAAUUAACUUUGGAAUGGGUCAAUCCAGGGUUCAAAGCCGGAUCGGGUCAUAAAAGGAUUUGAUCGUUCCAUUCCAGAGUGGAAUAGAAAGCGGAAUUCGAUUUCUGGAAAACAAAUAACAACUAUCGAAAUCGUCGAAUUUUAUUUCGAUUUCAUAGCCUAAAAUAAAUUGAC